RNAcentral lists this ribosomal RNA (207 nucleotides) under uncultured bacterium. Its description in RNAcentral is "partial 16S ribosomal RNA". It matches the Rfam family "Bacterial small subunit ribosomal RNA", at positions 524 to 729 of the family's 1533-position model. The record is from RNAcentral.
UACAGGAGGAGCCAAGCGUUGUCCGGAUUGACUGGGCGUAAAGCGCACGCAGGCGGAUGCGCGCGUGGGGUGGUGAAAUCUGGCCGCUUAACGGCCAGGCGCCAUCCCAUACGGCGCGUCGGAGUGAUGCAGAGGUCGGUGGAAUUGCCGGUGUAGUGGUGAAAUGCGUAGAGAUCGGCAGGAACACCCAGGGGGAAACCAGCCGAC